RNAcentral lists this long non-coding RNA (1025 nucleotides) under Anas platyrhynchos (mallard). RNAcentral's name for it is "lncRNA (ENSAPLG00020005575.1)". Lineage: Eukaryota; Metazoa; Chordata; Aves; Anseriformes; Anatidae. The record is from RNAcentral.
CCCACAGAAAUCACACUUCCCUGCCAGGCACGCUCACCGCCUGUCUCUGGGCUAUUUUUGCCGCAUCCUUUUGGAGGCACAGCAGCCGGAACGGAGCACGGCGACUUCAGCACUCAAAGGCAGACCGUGAGCUUUAAUGGAGCUGGUGGCAUUAUAAUAUUCGCGCUCGCCUUCCCCACUGCUUUCCUAAUAUAGCCCGACACCGACCGGGAUUUUCAACUGUGGCGGCGCGCAGAGCAGCUCCCUGCUGUCCUGUCACCCCUGACCUGGCAGCAAGCCCCGGCCUCGCAGCCUCCAGCUGGGGAAGCGGCCGGGAGAAGCCAGGCUCCUGACACGCGGAGGCAAAGAUCAAACGGCGCUCGCUUGGCAACCUCCAGCCCUGUGCCAGGGGACAGAGGGGUGUCCCGUGCUCAUCUAUCCAGCAUUUCCCAGCACCACCAUACAGAAGGGGACAGCAUCACCGGGAACCCCGCAGCGUGCGCCCCACGGCUCUGCGCGGCCCCAUUACGCACCAACCCUGCUGGGACUUCCCAAGGGCUCAUCCUCCGCACGGCGCCCAGCUCCGGAGCCAGGAAAUGUGGCGGGGCUGUGCCGCCAGCGUGUGCCGGCGAAGCGGGCUCGCGAGCGCUCGCAGCGAUUCCAACGCCCGGAGCUUGCGGCUGGGCUUCGCCUCCUAAGCCUGCUUCCAACUCCUUGCGCGGGGAGCAGCGAUUUGUCUGCAAAUGUAUGCGGUUAAAAUAAACGCCGAGAAUUUUAAUCCUGGGAAUUUGGAAAGUAGGAGAUUUAAAAUAACAAAACCCUUUCAUAUGGCGCUUAAUCCGAAAUUAGAUGGGGUUUUAAGUUGUUGGUUUUUUUUUUUACGGUGGUGACUGGAAGUUCCUCGGCCACCUCCUGCUCACUGUGGGCUGGGGGCAAUUUGGGGUGCCCGGGUGGGGGCUGCUGGGGACCGGCGGCUGGCCCCCGGUGCUGGGGGCGGUGAGGGAGAGCGAGUGCUCUUCUUUGUUGACAUGGAAUGGAUCUCCCAC